UUUAGCAGAAACCUCAGUCCACUGAGUCAACAAGCUCUCUCUUGAAUCAAUAUUGACUAGUCAAGGGUUUGGGGCUUGCCUUGCUUUGUUCUCUAGUUAAUCUGAAGUUCAUUCCAGCAGAGGUGAUCUUGUUAUACAUUCCAUCCUCACAAGACUCAGCUCUGAAUGGCCUUUGGGGUCAGACACCUGUGCAUGAAGAUUUAAGUGGAAAAGUCGAUGCACAGACAGUCCCACUCUCUCGGCGUUGGAAGCCUGGGUCCAGUGGCACGAAAAGUCGGUACACCUGAAGACUUCCUCAGCUGCAUUGGAUGGCCGUGUUGUCUUUUGUGCUCCAUCAUGCUCUAAGCACUCCACAGUGCCUUGCUGCAUCGCCAUCUCAGCCGUUGAAUCUUCUUGUUGAUUUCUUCCGCCUGUUCCACCGAAGCAGUCUUCACAUGCUAGAAGGAAGUGAAGGAGUAUGGUGGUAGAAGUCAAACCAAGGCCCAAGGAAAAGGAUGUUAUGGCAUUACCCUAAGAAAUAUAGACUGGUUGCCAGAAGGCAUGAAGCACAUGAAUGGUGAGCCUGAGGACCAUCAUGGGGUGGGUAUUUGUGUUCUGGAACAGAGUUCCAGCUGCCCCACCCUUGUAUGACUGUCAAACCUGCUCUUGAUCUUGACUUGUUGGUACCAAGAUUCUGCCCCCCUACCUGAUGAGUAUCUUUUUGGCUAUCAUGCUUUUUUUUUUCUUCCCCUGCUCCCCCAAACCAGAGAAUGUUCAAUCUGUAUCCUAAAUCCUGCAGAGCAACAGCCUAGAAAGAUUAAGCUAAGAGUAGUAGUACCACAAAUUUUCAGGUUUUUAAAAUGCCCAAUUAGCAUGAGCAAACUUUCCUCCCAACAAACCCCAAAUCCAGUCCCAGGAGACAAUAAUUAGCUUUGCUUUGAUACCUUUCCAAGAGUCAUACAUGUUUCAGCUCUUCUGCAGGACCCAUACACUUGAAUAACCUGUCAAUAAGCUUUUCUUUAACGCCAAUUUUAUCAAAGACAAAAUACCUGGUCUGUGGAAGAUCCAUGAUUAUCUUCCCUGUUACAUCUUCUUGGAUCUGUUUUCU
Molecule: long non-coding RNA, 1087 nt
Filed under: Monodelphis domestica (gray short-tailed opossum)
Lineage: Eukaryota; Metazoa; Chordata; Mammalia; Didelphimorphia; Didelphidae
Description: lncRNA (ENSMODG00000047254.1)
Source: RNAcentral